RNAcentral lists this ribosomal RNA (460 nucleotides) under uncultured bacterium. RNAcentral describes it as "partial 16S ribosomal RNA". It matches the Rfam family "Bacterial small subunit ribosomal RNA", at positions 338 to 795 of the family's 1533-position model. The record is from RNAcentral.
CCUACGGGAGGCAGCAGUGAGGAAUAUUGGUCAAUGGGCGCGAGCCUGAACCAGCCAAGUAGCGUGAAGGAUGACUGCCCUACGGGUUGUAAACUUCUGUUAUAAAGGAAUAAAGUGAGGCACGUGUGCCUUUUUGUAUGUACUUUAUGAAUAAGGAUCGGCUAACUCCGUUCCAGCAGCCGCGGUAAUACGGAGGAUCCGAGCGUGAUCCGGAUUUAUUGGGUUUAAAGGGAGCGUAGAUGGGUUGUUAAGUCAGGUGUGAAAGUUUGCGGCGCAACCGUAAAAUUGCAAUUGAUACUGGGAGUCUUGAGUACAGUUGAGGUAGGCGGAAUUCGUGGUGUAGCGGUGAAAUGCUUAGAUAUCACGAAGAACUCCGAUUGCGAAGGCAGCUUACUAAACUGCAACUGACAUUGAUGCUCGAAGGUGUGGGUAUCAAACAGGAUUAGAUACCCGAGUAGUC